GUAUUGCUGAAUUGGUUCCAGAACAUACAUUCGAGAAUUGUUUUUCAUUUGGUUUCUUAAAAAUUUAUCAUGAUUUUCUUAAAUCAUAUAUGUCGUGGAGUAGCUUCAAAUGCAUGCGUCGUGCAUAGUGCUUAUCUACCCUGAACACAUGAUUACAUUCUUUACAGCCAUGGAACUUUGCUCACUUGUUUCCCCAAAGUUCUUCUUCUUCAUUUGUGUUCUCCCCAAUGCUGCAGAGGUGGCGUAGGUUGAGGGAACUUGAUAAGCUCAAGGGACAUGUGGAAUUUGGUUUGUCAACUAGAAGGCGCUCGACAUCGAGAUGGUCUAGCAGUCCGUACACGGUGUGAUGAUCUGGGCUUCCAUGGAAUGCAUCAGCUACAACUACUUGGGUAAUUUAGCUUAUUCUCUAAGCUAGCCUAAUCUCUUCUACAACCUCGGCAGUGGUGGCCACCUCUUCUUGGUUCAGGUGAGCCCUUUAUGUCCUCUAUUUCUCUCUUGCUUUGAGAUGGUGCC
Molecule: long non-coding RNA, 513 nt
Organism: Triticum aestivum (bread wheat)
Lineage: Eukaryota; Viridiplantae; Streptophyta; Magnoliopsida; Poales; Poaceae
Exons: 3
Source: RefSeq, a predicted model, not a curated record